CAUCUCCUCUUCCCCCGUCCCCUUCUCCACCACCGGCCGCCGCCGCGGCCAGGCCGGCGUGGCGGCGCACCAUCCAUCCAUUGGCGCCGCCAGCCACGACCAUCUCCACCACGCACCACCAGCACCAUACCAUCCAUCCUGCCAACCUCCAGCGCCAUUGCAUCCACGGCGCGGCCGACCAGACAAGUUGUCUGGUGCCUCGCGCGACCAUCCCCACGCUGCUGCUGCUUUUCCGACGUCCCUGCUGCUCCUCCGCUUCCCUCGCCUUGCUGCUGCUUUUCUUUCUCAACGCCGGCUGCUGCUUCCCCGCUUCCCUCCGCUGCUUGCUGCUUCUUCUUCUCUCCCCUGCUCAAAACUGUUGCUGCUUCGCUAACUCUGCUGCUUCUUCUCUGAUCCCCUGCUGCUGCAUUUCUCCUCUGCCACCCUCAACGUCUGCUUCUGCUGCAUCUCUUCUUUUCUCCCCAAAACUGCUGAUCUACUCUCUUGCUGCGCCCACGCUUCUCUUCUGAACCUGAAGCUCUUCUACAAUCUCUCUCUCUCUCUCUCUCUCUCUCUCUCUCUCUCUCUCUCUCUCUCUCUCUCUCUCUCUCUAAAUAUUGUACGUUGCAUUGUAAGAAUUGGUGAAUUGUCCAGAAUUAAUGUGGUUUAGUAUUUCUAUUAUGUUGAUCUGUUAGUACGAGUACGUAGUUUGCUUAAACCAAUUCAUAUUUGUAUUGUCACUCUUGUGCUUCUCUUACUGUAGAAACUGGUUCUAGAUUGUAGUCCAUGUGUUAGCAAGUUCUUGUCAUACAUAUGUACUUGUGAUGUGAAGUAUGUUUGUCCCUGUACCUUAAUCUUGCUUCUUCCUUUUUAUACAUU
This 858-nucleotide ribosomal RNA is filed under the name Triticum aestivum (bread wheat). RNAcentral's name for it is "partial small subunit ribosomal RNA". The record is from RNAcentral. Lineage: Eukaryota; Viridiplantae; Streptophyta; Magnoliopsida; Poales; Poaceae.